UACAAAUAAUGCGAACAUAUUAGGAGUCCUGCCUGCCCGGUGACUUAGUUAAACGGCCGCGGUAUCUUGACCGUGCAAAGGUAGCAUAAUCAUUUGCCUCUUAAAUGGGGGCUGGUAUGAAUGGCAAGACGGAAAUUAAGCUGUCUCUCCCUUGGUUUCCCUAAUUUAAUUUUUCCGUGAAGAAGCGGAAAUUUAGUCGUGGGACGAGAAGACCCUGUCGAGCUUUAGUGGUUAUUUUCUAGGCAGAGUAAAGGCCGUUUGCUGCUAAUUAACUUAUAAAAGGAAUUUGUUUUACGAGGCGAAGGACCUUGUCUUGGGAAGUACGCUUUGGUUGGGGCAACCGCGGAGUAUAGAAAUCCUCCGUUAAGUUAACUAAAUGAAGUUAUAUCUUUUUUGUGGGCUUACUAUCGGAUUGAUCCGCCUGUAUGGGGGCGAACAAAUGAACAAGUUACCGCAGGGAUAACAGCGUAAUUCCCUUGGAGAGUUCGUAUUGGUAAGGGAGUUUGCGACCUCGAUGUUGGAUCGGGAUUUCCUGGGGGUGAAGCAGCUCCUAAGGGUUGGUCUGUUCGACCAUUAAAAUCUU
This 583-nucleotide ribosomal RNA is filed under the name Asteroidea sp. RCMBAR044. RNAcentral's name for it is "partial 16S ribosomal RNA". It matches the Rfam family "Bacterial large subunit ribosomal RNA", at positions 1827 to 2597 of the family's 2925-position model. Lineage: Eukaryota; Metazoa; Echinodermata; Asteroidea. The record is from RNAcentral.